UGGGGAAUUUUGCACAAUGGAGGAAACUCUGAUGCAGCGACGCCGCGUGAGAGAUGAAGAUCUUCGGAUUGUAAAACUCUGUCCUUAGUGAAGAUAAUGACAGUAACUAAGAAGCAAGCCCUGGCUAAAUACGUGCCAGCAGCCGCGGUAAUACGUAUGGGGCAAGCGUUGUCCGGAAUUAUUGGGCGUAAAGGGUACGUAGGCGGUUUAAUAAGUCCUAAUUAAAAGGCUAUGGCUCAACCAUAGUAUGGUUAGGAAACUGUUGAACUUGAGUAGAUGAGGGGAAAGUGGAAUUCCAUGUGUAGCGGUGAAAUGCGUAGAUAUAUGGAGGAACACCAAUGGCGAAGGCAACUUUCUGGAAUCAAACUGACGCUGAGGUACGAAGGCGUGGGGAGCAAACAGG
This 403-nucleotide ribosomal RNA is filed under the name Fusobacteriota bacterium. Its description in RNAcentral is "Fusobacteria bacterium partial 16S ribosomal RNA". It matches the Rfam family "Bacterial small subunit ribosomal RNA", at positions 355 to 776 of the family's 1533-position model. Lineage: Bacteria; Fusobacteriati; Fusobacteriota. The record is from RNAcentral.